UCAAAACCAAUUCCUCCUAUUUCUUCAUGGAUACAUCAAGCUUGAUUGAAACAAAUUUGAGCCUAUAAGAAUCUAUAUCACUCCAUUCAGCACUCACAAUUACAGCUACUUAAACAAAGCAAUAUCAGACAACUAAAAAACUAAACCAGAAAUAAAGAUCUUGGACAAUUCCGAACUUCAAUCCUCCAUUCGCGCUUAUUACUCAAAUCCAAUUUCAAACAAAAGAGUUUCACAGUCACAUACCUGGAAAAUAGAAAGACAAGAGAAAAGGAAAAGAGGUCAGUAGGUGCAAUAACAACAGCUUAGUGACAAAUUUAACAGCCCAGCAACGACUUAAUCACCACAGCACCAACUAUAGCAAAUUCAAAUCAUAGUAAUUUCAAUAACCAACCAAUAACAUUUUAGCAAUCAAAAACAGCUUGACUGAGUGCUUUCGAUCGAAAUACACCUUAAACUAACCCUCGGAAUUCCAUACCAAGGUACAACACCAACUGUUUGACCAAAUUAAGUCAUCAGAAACCAAAGAAUCACCCAAAACAGGACAAGCAAAUCUCUGAAACUAUGGUAAUCAGAAAUUGAACUAAAACAUGCAAACCAACAGCUGUAAGUUAAAAUUCACCUAAUGCUCGAUGGUACAGUAGUUUUCUUUUUGAAGUUUUCUAUUUUUUUUUCUUUUUAGGUUUUCUACAUGAAGAAAGUUAGGAUCUAAAGGAGUUUCAUAUCAGAAUUUUUGAAUUCCAGAUCUGGAAACUUGGAGAGUAUUAUUGGGGUGAUUUUUAG
This 780-nucleotide long non-coding RNA is filed under the name Nicotiana benthamiana. RNAcentral's name for it is "long non-coding RNA (NBEN_LNC032278)". Lineage: Eukaryota; Viridiplantae; Streptophyta; Magnoliopsida; Solanales; Solanaceae. The record is from RNAcentral.